This 492-nucleotide ribosomal RNA is filed under the name uncultured bacterium. Its description in RNAcentral is "partial 16S ribosomal RNA". It matches the Rfam family "Bacterial small subunit ribosomal RNA", at positions 29 to 507 of the family's 1533-position model. The record is from RNAcentral.
AGUGAACGCUGGCGGUAGGCCUAACACAUGCAAGUCGAACGGCAGCACAGUAAGAGCUUGCUCUUACGGGUGGCGAGUGGCGGACGGGUGAGGAAUACAUCGGAAUCUACUUUUUCGUGGGGGAUAACGUAGGGAAACUUAAGCUAAUACCGCAUACGACCUACGGGGGAAAGCAGGGGAUCUUCGGACCUUGCGCGAUUGAAUGAGCCGAUGUCGGAUUAGCUAGUUGGCGGGGUAAAGGCCCACCAAGGCGACGAUCCGUAGCUGGUCUGAGAGGAUGGUCAGCCACACUGGAACUGAGACACGGUCCAGACUCCUACGGGAGGCCGCAGUGGGGAAUAUUGGACAAUGGGCGCAAGCCUGAUCCAGCCAUACCGCGUGGGUGAAGAAGGCCUUCGGGUUGUAAAGCCCUUUUGUUGGGAAAGAAAAGCAGCAGGUUAAUACCCCGCUGUUCUGACGGUACCCAAAGAAUAAGCACCGGCUAACUUCGUG